RNAcentral lists this ribosomal RNA (482 nucleotides) under uncultured bacterium. Its description in RNAcentral is "partial 16S ribosomal RNA". It matches the Rfam family "Bacterial small subunit ribosomal RNA", at positions 30 to 507 of the family's 1533-position model. The record is from RNAcentral.
AUUGAACGCUGGCGGCAUGCCUUACACAUGCAAGUCGAACGGUAACAGGUCUUCGGAUGCUGACGAGUGGCGAACGGGUGAGUAAUACAUCGGAACGUGCCCGAUCGUGGGGGAUAACGAGGCGAAAGCUUUGCUAAUACCGCAUACGAUCUACGGAUGAAAGCGGGGGAUCUUCGGACCUCGCGCGGACGGAGCGGCCGAUGGCAGAUUAGGUAGUUGGUGGGAUAAAAGCUUACCAAGCCGACGAUCUGUAGCUGGUCUGAGAGGAUGAUCAGCCACACUGGGACUGAGACACGGCCCAGACUCCUACGGGAGGCAGCAGUGGGGAAUUUUGGACAAUGGGCGAAAGCCUGAUCCAGCCAUGCCGCGUGCAGGAUGAAGGCCUUCGGGUUGUAAACUGCUUCUGUACGGAACGAAAAGCCUCUUUCUAAUAAAGAGGGGUCAUGACGGUACCGUAAGAAUAAGCACCGGCUAACUACGUG